Molecule: ribosomal RNA, 838 nt
Filed under: uncultured bacterium
Lineage: Bacteria
Description: bacterial SSU rRNA
Rfam family: Bacterial small subunit ribosomal RNA
Source: RNAcentral
CGAUACGUGUAUCGGGCUGAAAGUACUGUACGAAUAAGGAUCGGCUAACUCCGUGCCAGCAGCCGCGGUAAUACGGAGGAUCCAAGCGUUAUCCGGAUUUAUUGGGUUUAAAGGGUGCGUAGGCGGAAUAGUAAGUUAGAGGUGAAAGCUCGGGGCUCAACUCCGGAACUGCCUCUGAUACUGCUAAUCUAGAGAGUAGAUGCGGUAGGCGGAAUGUAUGGUGUAGCGGUGAAAUGCUUAGAGAUCAUACAGAACACCGAUUGCGAAGGCAGCUUACCAAACUAUAUCUGACGUUGAGGCACGAAAGCGUGGGGAGCAAACAGGCUUAGAUACCCUGGUAGUCCACGCAGUAAACGAUGAUAGCUCGUUAUCGGCGAUACACAGUCGGUGACUUAGAGAAAUCGAUAAGCUAUCCACCUGGGGAGUACGUUCGCAAGAAUGAAACUCAAAGGAAUUGACGGGGGCCCGCACAAGCGGAGGAACAUGUGGUUUAAUUCGAUGAUACGCGAGGAACCUUACCCGGGCUUGAAAGUUAGUGACGGACUUGGAAACAGGUCUUCCCUUCGGGGCACGAAACUAGGUGCUGCAUGGUUGUCGUCAGCUCGUGCCGUGAGGUGUCGGGUUAAGUCCCAUAACGAGCGCAACCCCUGCUGAUAGUUGCCAUCAGGUUAAGCUGGGCACUCUAUCGGGACUGCCUCUGUAAGGAGGAGGAGGGUGGGGAUGACGUCAAAUCAGCACGGCCCUUACGUCCGGGGCGACACACGUGUUACAAUGGUAGGUACAGAGGGCAGCCACCCAGCGAUGGGGAGCAAAUCUSGAAAGCMUAUUUCAGCUGGGA